CGUUGCCUCGGCGGGCAGCCGGAGCCCAGCUCCGUCGCCCGGAGCCGCCGUCUCGGCGCGCCCCACCCGCCGGCGGACCACCAAACUCUAUUUAAACGACGUCUCUUCUGAGUGGCACAAGCAAAUAAUCAAAACUUUUAACAACGGAUCUCUUGGUUCUGGCAUCGAUGAAGAACGCAGCGAAAUGCGAUAAGUAAUGUGAAUUGCAGAAUUCAGUGAAUCAUCGAAUCUUUGAACGCACAUUGCGCCCGCCAGCAUUCUGGCGGGCAUGCCUGUUCGAGCGUCAUUUCAACCCUCAAGCACCGCUUGGCGUUGGGGCCCUACGGCUUCCGUAGGCCCCGAAAUACAGUGGCGGACCCUCCCGGAGCCUCCUUUGCGUAGUAACAUACCACCUCGCACUGGGAUCCGGAGGGACUCCUGCCGUAAAACCCCCCAAUUUUCCAAAGGUUGACCUCGGAUCAGGUAGGAAUACCCGCUGAACUUAAGCAU
Molecule: ribosomal RNA, 489 nt
Filed under: Colletotrichum gloeosporioides
Lineage: Eukaryota; Fungi; Ascomycota; Sordariomycetes; Glomerellales; Glomerellaceae
Description: eukaryotic LSU rRNA
Rfam family: 5.8S ribosomal RNA (bases 133-286)
Source: RNAcentral